UAGGGGGGGCCUAAUACAUGCAAGUCGAACGCACUCUCGUUAGAUUGAAGAAGCUUGCUUCUGAUUGAUAACAUUUGAGUGAGUGGCGGACGGGUGAGUAACACGUGGGUAACCUGCCCUAAAGUGGGGGAUAACAUUUGGAAACAGAUGCUAAUACCGCAUAAAACCUAGCACCGCAUGGUGCAAGGUUGAAAGAUGGUUUCGGCUAUCACUUUAGGAUGGACCCGCGGUGCAUUAGUUAGUUGGUGAGGUAAAGGCUCACCAAGACCGUGAUGCAUAGCCGACCUGAGAGGGUAAUCGGCCACACUGGGACUGAGACACGGCCCAGACUCCUACGGGAGGCAGCAGUAGGGAAUCUUCCACAAUGGACGAAAGUCUGAUGGAGCAACGCCGCGUGAGUGAAGAAGGUUUUCGGAUCGUAAAACUCUGUUGUUGGAGAAGAACGUAUUUGAUAGUAACUGAUCAGGUAGUGACGGUAUCCAACCAGAAAGCCACGGCUAACUACGUGCCAGCAGCCGCGGUAAUACGUAGGUGGCAAGCGUUGUCCGGAUUUAUUGGGCGUAAAGCGAGCGCAGGCGGUUUCUUAAGUCUGAUGUGAAAGCCUUCGGCUCAACCGAAGAAGUGCAUCGGAAACUGGGAAACUUGAGUGCAGAAGAGGACAGUGGAACUCCAUGUGUAGCGGUGAAAUGCGUAGAUAUAUGGAAGAACACCAGUGGCGAAGGCGGCUGUCUGGUCUGUAACUGACGCUGAGGCUCGAAAGCAUGGGUAGCAAACAGGAUUAGAUACCCUGGUAGUCCAUGCCGUAAACGAUGAGUGCUAGGUGUUGGAGGGUUUCCGCCCUUCAGUGCCGCAGCUAACGCAUUAAGCACUCCGCCUGGAGAGUACGACCGCAAGGUUGAAACUCAGAGGAAUUGACGGGGGCCCGCACAAGCGGUGGAGCAUGUGGUUUAAUUCGAAGCAACGCGAAGAACCUUACCAGGUCUUGACAUCCUUUGACCACUCUAGAGAUAGAGCUUUCCCUUCGGGGACAAAGUGACAGGUGGUGCAUGGUUGUCCUCAGCUCGUGUCGUGAGAUGUUGGGUUAAGUCCCGCAACGACCGCACCCUUAUUACUAGUUGCCAGCAUUUAGUUGGGCACUCU
This 1140-nucleotide ribosomal RNA is filed under the name Latilactobacillus curvatus. RNAcentral's name for it is "bacterial SSU rRNA". It matches the Rfam family "Bacterial small subunit ribosomal RNA", at positions 37 to 1141 of the family's 1533-position model. Lineage: Bacteria; Bacillati; Bacillota; Bacilli; Lactobacillales; Lactobacillaceae. The record is from RNAcentral.